UACGGAGGGGGCCAGCGUUGCUCGGAAUCACUGGGCGUAAAGGGCCUGUAGGCGGUUUGGUAAGUCCUGUGUGAAAUCCCUUGGCUUAACCAAGGAACUGCGCAGGAUACUGUCGAACUAGAGGCCGGGAGAGGGAAGCGGAAUUCCGAGUGUAGCGGUGAAAUGCGUAGAUAUUCGGAGGAACACCGGUGGCGAAGGCGGCUUCCUGGACCGGUUCUGACGCUAUAAGGCGAAAGCUAGGGUAGCAAACAGG
Molecule: ribosomal RNA, 253 nt
Filed under: uncultured bacterium
Lineage: Bacteria
Description: partial 16S ribosomal RNA
Rfam family: Bacterial small subunit ribosomal RNA
Source: RNAcentral